GGAGUGGCCGAUGCCUGAUUAGCUAGUUGGUGGGGUAAAGGCCUACCAAGGCGACGAUCAGUAGUUGGUCUGAGAGGACGACCAGCCACACUGGGACUGAGACACGGCCCAGACUCCUACGGGAGGCAGCAGUGGGGAAUUUUGGACAAUGGGCGAAAGCCUGAUCCAGCAAUGCCGCGUGAGUGAAGAAGGCCUUCGGGUUGUAAAGCUCUUUCAGUCGAGAAGAAAAGAUUGUGAUGAAUAAUCACAGUUCAUGACGGUAUCGACAGAAGAAGCACCGGCUAACUACGUGCCAGCAGCCGCGGUAAUACGUAGGGUGCAAGCGUUAAUCGGAAUUACUGGGCGUAAAGGGUGCGCAGGCGGCUUUGUAAGUCAGAUGUGAAAUCCCCGGGCUUAACCUGGGAAUU
Molecule: ribosomal RNA, 407 nt
Filed under: uncultured beta proteobacterium
Lineage: Bacteria; Pseudomonadati; Pseudomonadota; Betaproteobacteria
Description: bacterial SSU rRNA
Rfam family: Bacterial small subunit ribosomal RNA
Source: RNAcentral